CAGGCAUGCUGGAGCCCCGCCCAGCGGCGCCGCGGUCCAAAUGGGCCGGACACCGGACGGGGCAGAA
RNAcentral lists this non-coding RNA (67 nucleotides) under Mesorhizobium prunaredense. RNAcentral's name for it is "ybhL". It matches the Rfam family "ybhL leader". Rfam says of the family: This family is a putative regulatory RNA structure that is found upstream of an uncharacterized membrane protein in alpha-proteobacteria. Lineage: Bacteria; Pseudomonadati; Pseudomonadota; Alphaproteobacteria; Hyphomicrobiales; Phyllobacteriaceae. The record is from RNAcentral.